Molecule: transfer RNA, 60 nt
Filed under: Silene jeniseensis subsp. popovii
Lineage: Eukaryota; Viridiplantae; Streptophyta; Magnoliopsida; Caryophyllales; Caryophyllaceae
Description: Silene jenisseensis subsp. popovii partial tRNA-Phe
Source: RNAcentral
GUCGGGAUAGCUCAGCUGGUAAAACAGAGGACUGAAAUUCUCGUGUCACCAGUUUCAAUA